RNAcentral lists this ribosomal RNA (360 nucleotides) under Nematoda environmental sample. Its description in RNAcentral is "SSU rRNA". It matches the Rfam family "Eukaryotic small subunit ribosomal RNA", at positions 58 to 414 of the family's 1831-position model. The record is from RNAcentral. Lineage: Eukaryota; Metazoa; Nematoda.
UCUAAGCACAUGCCUUAAUAUGGUGAAGCCGCGAAUAGCUCAUUACAACAGCCAUAGUUUACUGGAAUAUCGUUAUCCUACUUGGAUAACUGUGGCAAUUCUAGAGCUAAUACAUGCAUAAAAGCUCUGCCCGAAAGGAAAGAGCGCAUUUAUUAGAAUAAAAACCAAUCGGGCUUCGGCCUGUAAUUUGGUGAAUCUGAAUAACUUUGCCAAUCGCACAGUCCUAGUACUGGCGAUGUAUCCUUCAAGUGUCUGCCUUAUCAACUUUCGAUGGUAGGUUAUACGCCUACCAUGGUAGUAACGGGUAACGGAGAAUAAGGGUUCGACUCCGGAGAGGGAGCCUGAGAAACGGCUACCACA